GGGGGGGGGGGGGGGGGGGGGGGGGGGGGGGGGGGGGGGGGGGGGGGGGGCCAGUGCUCCCAGUUCCCCCAGUGCCCCCAGCGCCUCCAGCGCCCCCAGCGCCCCCAGUUCCCCCAGUGCUCCCAGCGCCCCCAGUGCCCCCAGUGUUCCCAGUGCUCCCAGUGCUCCCAGCGCCGAGUCAAUGGUUAACCCGCGCUCACCCCGCGCCUCCCCUCCUGACGAAGCAGCCCAGGCUCUCUGCUCCGCAGAGCUGGAGCGGCACAGGAGCCCCACACACCUCCCUGAGCACCUGGGCACAGAUUUCCAAUGAAGAAAGAAAACAACCCCUGGGACC
RNAcentral lists this long non-coding RNA (334 nucleotides) under Ficedula albicollis (Collared flycatcher). RNAcentral's name for it is "lncRNA (ENSFALG00000024414.1)". Lineage: Eukaryota; Metazoa; Chordata; Aves; Passeriformes; Muscicapidae. The record is from RNAcentral.